Molecule: non-coding RNA, 809 nt
Organism: Meleagris gallopavo (turkey)
Lineage: Eukaryota; Metazoa; Chordata; Aves; Galliformes; Phasianidae
Source: RefSeq, a predicted model, not a curated record
GGCGGGGCGGGACGGGCCCCGGUGGGAGGGCCGAGCGGCGCCGAGUCCGCCGCCGGGGCUGGGGGUUAGAGCGGGAAGCGCUGCCGUCCCGGUGGUAUCCCGUGGGUAACGAGAAGCGCAAAACAAAGGGUUUCGGCCGAAGGUUCGCGCCACGCUGGAAGCACAGAACGACCCAACGACUCUCCUCGACCGCGUGCUUCUCACGCCCGCUUUGUUCUGAGCGCGGCUGCGCGCUGGGCGGAGCUGCUCCGAGCGCGGCCGCACCUGUGCGGGUGGAGGCGCGGGGCUGCCGCUCGGCUCUGCUCGCGGGUGGAGGCCGGUGUGCCGGCAGAGCUGCAGAGGGAGACAGCUUUCCCGCUAUCGUUUGGACUGUGUUUGCUGAGAGUGCUAUGCCACUCCACUGGUGGUUUGAGUGUAUUUUAUUCGUGAGCAAUACAGAAAUAACGGGAGGAAUCCUCUGUUCAGAACUGGAUCAGUUACAGGACUUUGUGUCAUUUCUGCAGAAACACUGAUGCUUAACUGAGAAUAACAAGGAUGGGAAGUCAACUCUUGACAGUGACUACCGAUGCCCAGUUAGUUCCAGUUUUUGAUCUCAUCUUGUUCUGCAGUGCACUUCCCACAAUUCUGGCCCCUGCUCCACGUUAUCACAGUUACAGCUGACCUCUGUUUGCAUGAAGCAAGAAGUGUGAUAGCCAUAGUGCUGGCCAGCUCUUCUGCCACCAGAGCUGAAACAGAGCAUCAACAGAGCUCCAGACACUAUGAAGAAAAUCAACUCUGACCCCAACCAAAUCCAGUAUAAAUGUCUUCAG